RNAcentral lists this unclassified non-coding RNA (335 nucleotides) under soil metagenome. RNAcentral describes it as "partial contains 5.8S ribosomal RNA, internal transcribed spacer 2, and large subunit ribosomal RNA". The stretch from base 2 to 119 matches the Rfam family "5.8S ribosomal RNA", at positions 37 to 154 of the family's 154-position model. The record is from RNAcentral.
GUGAAGAACGUAGUGAAAUGCGAUAAGUAAUGUGAAUUGCAGAAUUCAGUGAAUCAUCGAAUCUUUGAACGCACAUUGCGCCCGCCAGUAUUCUGGCGGGCAUGCCUGUUCGAGCGUCAUUUCAACCAUCAAGCCCCAGGCUUGUGUUGGGGACCUGCGGCUGCCGCAGGCCCUGAAAACCAGUGGCGGGCUCGCUGUCACACCGGGCGUAGUAGAUUUUAUCUCGCUCAGGGCGUGCUGCGGGUCCCGGCCGUUAAAAGCCUUUUUUUACCCAAGGUUGACCUCGGAUCAGGUAGGAAGACCCGCUGAACUUAAGCAUAUCAAUAAGCGGAGGA